GAUGAACGCUGGCGGCGUGCCUAAUACAUGCAAGUCGAGCGGACGGACGAGAAGCUUGCUUCUCUGAUGUUAGCGGCGGACGGGUGAGUAACACGUGGAUAACCUACCUAUAAGACUGGGAUAACUUCGGGAAACCGGAGCUAAUACCGGAUGAUAUUUUGAACCGCAUGGUUCAAAAGUGAAAGACGGUCUUGCUGUCACUUAUAGAUGGAUCCGCGCUGCAUUAGCUAGUUGGUAAGGUAACGGCUUACCAAGGCAACGAUGCAUAGCCGACCUGAGAGGGUGAUCGGCCACACUGGAACUGAGACACGGUCCAGACUCCUACGAGAGGCAGCAGUAGGGAAUCUUCCGCAAUGGGCGAAAGCCUGACGGAGCAACGCCGCGUGAGUGAUGAAGGUCUUCGGAUCGUAAAACUCUGUUAUUAGGGAAGAACAUAUGUGUAAGUAACUGUGCACAUCUUGACGGUACCUAAUCAGAAAGCCACGGCUAACUACGUG
RNAcentral lists this ribosomal RNA (497 nucleotides) under uncultured bacterium. RNAcentral's name for it is "partial 16S ribosomal RNA". It matches the Rfam family "Bacterial small subunit ribosomal RNA", at positions 28 to 507 of the family's 1533-position model. The record is from RNAcentral.